RNAcentral lists this ribosomal RNA (497 nucleotides) under uncultured bacterium. Its description in RNAcentral is "partial 16S ribosomal RNA". It matches the Rfam family "Bacterial small subunit ribosomal RNA", at positions 28 to 507 of the family's 1533-position model. The record is from RNAcentral.
GAUGAACGCUGGCGGCGUGCCUAAUACAUGCAAGUCGAGCGAACAAACGAGGAGCUUGCUCCCCUCACGUUAGCGGCGGACGGGUGAGUAACACGUGGAUAACCUACCUCUAAGACUGGGAUAACUUCGGGAAACCAGAGCUAAUACCGGAUAAUAUAUUGAACCGCAUCGUUCAAUAGUGGAAAACGGUUUUGCUGUCACUGAUAGAUGGAUCCGCGCCGCAUUAGCUAGUUGGUAGGGUCACCAAUUACCAAGGCAACGAUGCGCAUCCGACCGCAGAGGGUGAUCGGCGGCAUUGGAACUUGGACACGCUCCCGACGCCUGCGAGAGGGCCCAGUAGGGAAUGUUACGCAAUAGGCGAAAGCCUUACGGAGCAGCGCCGCGCGAGUUAUGAAGGUCUUCCGAUCGUAAAACUCUGUUACGAGGUAAGAACCACUGUGUAAGUAACUAUGGCGAUCUUGACGGUACCUGAUCAGAAAGCCCCGGCUAACUACGUG